GGGAAAUGAGCGCAGGUGGUAGAAAACUGAGGGAAGCGAGGGGAAUUUAACACGGUUAUUACUGAGGAAAGCAGGGGGGGAAAGGAGACAUUGGUGUAGAGGAGUAUAGAACAGGGGGAAAUGCCCAAAUCCCCAAACACCCUCACACACACACAGGGGUCAGUAGGAUCAGCUGCUUCAAGAGAUUUUUGGGCAGCCCCAUGCUUAGGCUGCCUGCUGGAGAGCAUUUCUGACCACCCCAGCUCCUGCUUCCUUGGGGAAACCUUGAACAGGAUGAAGCCCAGCCUUUGCUGGAGAUGCCAGCCCAGAUAACACUCCUGGGGUGCCACAAAGCCACAAAGGACCCGAGAGGAGGAUGAAGGGACCAACUGCUCCUUUGCUGAAGGUCCGGAGCAGCGGAGCCGAGCGCGUGCUGUGGUCCGGAGCUAUGCUCUGCUCUGGCUGGUCAAACGGAACCAAGCCCGUCUUCCUCGGAGGUUUGGUCCCCUUCAACCAGCUAUAGCAGUGUGGAAAACACCAAGCCAGGAAGGUUUGUCUCGCUCUGCCUCGGCUCAGCCCCAUCAGCCCUUCCUCCCGGAUGGAUCUGCUACCGCUCCGAACGUCCCCAGAGGGGUGCCUGGGAUGAGGCACCUGGAAAGGCUGCCCUAUCAGACUUGCCUGGCAACUCUGAGUUUAAGCUCUGGGAUACAGGGAUAUACUGACGGAAGAAGGCGCGCACAGAAGGCGAGGAGGGCUCCUACGACCCGUACGACUUCAGCGACGCCGAGGAGGAGAUGCCACAGGGUGAGUCCCUGGGUUUGGUGA
Parus major (Great Tit) is the source of this 804-nucleotide long non-coding RNA. RefSeq lists it as uncharacterized. The transcript has 4 exons. Lineage: Eukaryota; Metazoa; Chordata; Aves; Passeriformes; Paridae. The record is from RefSeq and is a predicted model, not a curated record.